This 115-nucleotide small nuclear RNA is filed under the name Penaeus monodon (black tiger shrimp). Its description in RNAcentral is "U5 spliceosomal RNA". It matches the Rfam family "U5 spliceosomal RNA". From Rfam's summary of the family: U5 RNA is a component of both types of known spliceosome. The precise function of this molecule is unknown, though it is known that the 5' loop is required for splice site selection and p220 binding, and that both the 3' stem-loop and the Sm site are important for Sm protein binding and cap methylation. The record is from RNAcentral. Lineage: Eukaryota; Metazoa; Arthropoda; Malacostraca; Decapoda; Penaeidae.
UAACUCUGGUUUCUCUUCGAAACUCAUAAAUCUUGUGCGUAUUACUAAAGAUUUCCGUGGUGGGGAAUAAUUCAGUGCAGAUAAUAAUAAUAAUAAUAAUAAUUAUUAUUAUUAU